This 253-nucleotide ribosomal RNA is filed under the name uncultured bacterium. Its description in RNAcentral is "partial 16S ribosomal RNA". It matches the Rfam family "Bacterial small subunit ribosomal RNA", at positions 524 to 776 of the family's 1533-position model. The record is from RNAcentral.
GACAGAGGGUGCAAACGUUGUUCGGAUUUACUGGGCGUAAAGCGCGUGUAGGCGGCUUGGCAAGUUGAAUGUGAAAGCCCACGGCUCAACCGUGGAAGCGCAUCCAAAACUGCUUCGCUCGAGUCUCGGAGAGGAAGGUGGAAUGCUUGGUGUAGAGGUGAAAUUCGUAGAUAUCAAGCAGAACACCUGCGGCGAAGGCGGCCUUCUGGACGAUGACUGACGCUGAGACGCGAAAGCGUGGGGAGCAAACAGG